CCCCACCAGAGGAAAACCCGCUCCUCUCGAUUCCUAUCCCCACGACGUACGACAUCCUUUGCCGCCGCCCCAUCUCCGAUCUCCCUUCACCGCCGCCCCAUCUCCGAUCUCCCUUCGCCGCCGCCCUCGCACUCGCAUCAAGUCGCCGCCGAUCCCUGCGCUACCUCGACGGGAGCCAUCACAAAUCCAUCCCUUCGCCGCCGCCCUGCGCCACCACUCCUAUGACGCCGCCUCCCGCCAGUCUCCACCAGCACCGCGACGUGCGUGGCCUCCACACGCGCCGUCACCGCCCCUCGAGAUCCGGCCGCCGUCAAGGGCGUAUCCAUCCAGCAGUGCGCCGUCACCUCCCCUCCAGAUCCGGCCGUCGUCAAGGCCGUAUCCAUCCAGCAGCACGCUGGCAUCCCAAUCAUCACCUUCCGCGGCGUCAUCGCCCAGGCCCAGUCUGGGGCCGGCAAGACGUCCAUGAUCUCCCUCUUCGUCUGCCAGGUUAUCGAGACCAACGUCCACAAUUGAUUAUGUAGGGUGCAUGCAUUAGCGACGAUAUGGACAGGUGCUUCACUGACAGGAAGAACUUGCUCAUGGACCGCAGGACCAUGGCUCCCAAGAUCGAUGACCUCAAGUCUCAGCCGUGCCUUUAGGGUUCCUCUCAACAAUUACACACAAGAUUCUUACUCGAGGUACCGACCCUGAGGUCCUUCUUGGUGCCACAUGUGGUUGGUGGGCUGCAUUUUUUAAGUUGGUAUGAUGAACUGGACUUUGUAAAUGAGCACAUAUAUACACUGAAUCCUGGUAAAUGGCAGCUGAAUUUCAAGUACAGGGGACUCUUCUGCCCGAUCACAGUUUUCACACAUUAAUAACUGUAUGGCUCCAUCAGCGUGAAUUCAUUUUUCGGGGUGAAAUUUAAGUGCACAUAGCUGCAAAGAUGUGAAGAUCCAUAUCGGUCUUGUUUGAUAUUCUUUGAGUUGGUUUAGAUAGAGAGAAGUGACCUCUUUCAUGUCAAGUGCAUGUGCCAUUUACUACAGCCAAAGUGUAGACUGAUGUACGCUCAUAAUUUGUUCUUUUGCUUUUUCUUGGCUGCAUGCUUGCAUCCAAUUCAGAUUUUCCAUGUGCACUUCAGAACUAAUCAUGCUUGUACAGAUGAGAAAUUGAGCAAGUUUUUUAGUCUUUGAUAGAAACUGAACAAGUUUCUCAUGAGUUUUUUUAUAUACUUCAAGCCUACUGCUCAUCCAGCUCUAUGUGCAGUUUGGAGAUAUGCUUUAUUGAUCAUGCAACCUCCUUCUUUUCUCAUCCCUUUUAUAUUUUUAUUUCAAAUACUCUGUGUUAGCAAAAUCCUGUUGCAUGACUAGACCAACUAUCUGGUGAUUCAGGCACUACAUUAGUGAUUGGGGCAAUGGUCAGACCUGCUUGCAUGAAAAAAAGGGCAAUUUGGAUGUGCUUGCAGGAGCUCAGAACUCACCUAUUGAUGACUCACCUUGGAAACUGGUUUUUUAAAGGUCUUGGAGAUCACCUUUGGUAACAAACACUCAGGACUGCUCUAACUUAUUAUAUGAAAUAAUGUUCGGCCAUAGUAUAUUUUUUCUACACUUGAUGUUAGGCUGACAAGGCGACAGAUGCGGGGCCUUCUUCAAUUUCAAGUCACACAUGCCAUCGUCGUCCAGGUCAGUGGUGCCCCGUGCCCAUCGACGACAUCAUGCAGCUGUUCGCCAACGCCUGGAUGAAUCACUUCAAGACAUUAUUCCUUGACCAUAAUGUAGUGCCGCCCUGGACUAGUAGCUUGUCGCCUACACCUCAAUACAAUACCCAGAAGUGCAUCCGCGCCGGUAGCAAGCACAACGACCUCGACGCCAUGGGAAACGGUACUCCUUGAUGGGAACUAGACCUUCAGGUAUGAUGGGAGCUUCGAAGAGGAAGCCAGCGGAUAUUCAUGGGAGCUCCUCGUCAAAGUGAGGGAUUUAGUAUAGAAAGCUACUUUACAAGUAGUCUCAAGCUGGAGGAUAACAGAUUGGUCGCGACGUUAGGGAUCUCCAUCAAUGUUAUACUAUUUGUCUCCAGGUAUAUGAUCACUCCAAAUUCUAGAUAUUCUAGCGAGUAGAUGAGGUGAAAGUAUGUGCAACAUAGUUCUUUUUUUUUGUUUUGCUCUAAUUUCUGCGGGAGUGUUGUUAAAUCCCAUGUAGCACGAUGGUGGUUGUAUGCUGCCGUGGAGGAAUUAAAGGCACAUGUUGAUUAAAAGAAUGGCCACUAAUAUUGUCGAGUAAUUACUUGAUCUGCUCAUGAUUAAUUAGUACCCCAAUUUGUUUUCUCAAAAAGGUACAAUAUUGUUAUGGUAAAAGUUACACUUUGUGGCCUCAAAUAGCAUUCAGAUUUAUAGAUUGAUUUCUCUUAGAAAAAAUAUAGAUUUAUUCCUGAUUCUGUGAGCUCACUAAUUAUGAAGCUAACACAAGUCUAAUUACCUAAUACUUACCCCCACCUCAUCGUUGACAUCGUGCAGUACCAUGGCAGAGGUUUCUUUUGUGCAUGGAUUUCCAAGCGCUCCGGCCGUCAUUGGCGGAAGCGUGGGUUUUAAUUGGCCAACAUUCAUCUUUUAGGCGAUGUGUUUAUGUAGAGAAUUUUACUUAACAGGUCUGGAUGGCAUCUUUUGUCAAAACAAAAUCACGUUUGUUUUUAUAUAUUUUCUGCCUGACGCGUAAAGUGUUCCAUUAUUGUUUUCUUUUGGGGAAAUAAUUAUGCUUUAGGAUGAACUGGUUUAGUUCCUUUUUAUGUUGCUAAAACCCUAUAGCUUGCUUUUAUGUAGAAGUCCCUGGAUGAACUUACUACAAUCUUUAUUGUCAGGACACAUUGGUACUGAGCUUUCUUGCAAAGGUGCUAUGUUCUAACUGUGGUGUAUAUAGUUGUAUAGUUUAUAGUGAAAGUUGCGUUCUUGUCAGGCCACAGUAGUUGUAUAGUUUAGAUUAUACCUUGAGUUAGUUUUGUGCUUGUGGAAGUGCAGCGGCGAUUGCAAGACAGCUUGGUUCAGCUUCAUUAAUAUAGCACCAUCUUCACAAUACUGUACAUCAUAUUCUUAGACGGCUGGGUUCAACCUUGAGACCUUUGAAGUAAAAUACACUUAGUAGUUUUAAAUUUCAAGUGGCAUGGCUUACAAUAUGUAAGUGGGUUUUCCACACUUGUAACAUGAGAGAAUCUGCAUAGAUCUCAAGGUUGUCAUUCGUGGCUGAGACAAUGUUUCUAAAUCAAGGGACCCGCACUUCGUCAUUAUCUAAAUUGCGCUUGAUUAUUUUCCUAAAGGGACCUGCACUUCGUCAUUACCUAAGGGCAUCAGUUAGAAGAGAAGUUCGAGCUGACGGGAGUGGUGCCAACAGUUUCCACAAUAAUCGUCUGACAAAUAAAUAUAUAUCUUCUCAUUUUUCAGAUUUUGUUGUUCAAUUCAGUUAAAUCUAUUAGCUUACUGGUUGUGGUAUAACUAUUUCUAGAAUUUACAAUGUGGUUUCCGUGCCUAUUGAUUUAACUUGAUGAGAGAAAUGACUUCUUGGGUUCACUGUUCA
This is a long non-coding RNA of Triticum aestivum (bread wheat), 3539 nucleotides long. RefSeq lists it as uncharacterized. The transcript has 6 exons. NCBI's taxonomy places the organism in Eukaryota, Viridiplantae, Streptophyta, Magnoliopsida, Poales, Poaceae. The record is from RefSeq and is a predicted model, not a curated record.